RNAcentral lists this ribosomal RNA (464 nucleotides) under uncultured bacterium. RNAcentral describes it as "bacterial SSU rRNA". It matches the Rfam family "Bacterial small subunit ribosomal RNA", at positions 331 to 793 of the family's 1533-position model. The record is from RNAcentral.
CCAGACUCCUACGGGAGGCAGCAGUGAGGAAUAUUGGUCAAUGGGCGCGAGCCUGAACCAGCCAAGUCGCGUGAGGGAAGACGGUCCUAUGGAUUGUAAACCUCUUUUGUCGGGGAGCAAAAGACGCCACGUGUGGCGUUCCGAGAGUACCCGAAGAAAAAGCAUCGGCUAACUCCGUGCCAGCAGCCGCGGUAAUACGGAGGAUGCGAGCGUUAUCCGGAUUUAUUGGGUUUAAAGGGUGCGCAGGCGGAAGAUCAAGUCAGCGGUAAAAUUGGGAGGCUCAACCUCUUCGAGCCGUUGAAACUGGUUUUCUUGAGUGAGCGAGAAGUAUGCGGAAUGCGUGGUGUAGCGGUGAAAUGCAUAGAUAUCGAGAGGAACACUCGUGGCGAAGGCGGGUUCCUGGACAUUAACUGACGCUGAGGCACGAAGGCCAGGGGAGCGAAAGGGAUUAGAUACCCGCGUAC